RNAcentral lists this long non-coding RNA (2456 nucleotides) under Androctonus crassicauda. The record is from RNAcentral. Lineage: Eukaryota; Metazoa; Arthropoda; Arachnida; Scorpiones; Buthidae.
CAUUUUUUUUUUUUUUUUUUUUUUGUACGGAGUUCAAUCCGAUUCAUCUCUUCUCUCUUUCUCUCCAACGUGAUGCAUUGUUAAAAAUUCAUCUGCGCUGGAGUAAAAUAGAUGAGUUUAAAAGGAGGCAACAGAAGGGUGAGAAAAUAUGAGAUAUUAUUAAUUGAGACUUAACCCGUGAGAGGCGCGCAAAUAUUCGUUUUUCGAAGAGUAAUAUUUUGAGCGAAAAUCAAUUUAGAUGAUUUGGAAUGGCACGGAGCGCCCCACUCGGCGGAACACGUCACACAAGGUGAACGACCCUAGCACCACCCUUGCUGGCUGUUCCCGCACCCUUGGGAAGAUAAGCAGGCCCGACGCACAUCAACUACAACACUUAAGGAAGUAUUCUUUUGUUUGUUAGCGGAGAAAUGACUGGUUUCCUCAUUUCUUCAUUCAAUUUCCUCAAAACAACCCAGUCUGACCGGUCUUCGGCUUCUAACCUCGAUCCGCCAGAUAGACGUCCAAGGGCAGACCGUAACCGAGGGACGGGCGGCCGUUUUUCCGUGUCGACGACACCGGUCGGGAAGAGUGUGAGACGUUCGUGAUUAUCUCCCACGGUUUUCUGAUGUUUUCGGUACGCCUGGGACGUUGUAGAACCCACCCGCGCAUCCAGAUAACUAUCACUAGCGGCACUUCCUCCGCCAAUUGACCCCACACCUGCAAAGGGGCAAUCGCCUCCUCUACCUUUUUCUUUUUUUUUUCUUUUUAUUUUUUCGUUUCCAAGUGUCUAAAAGAUGACGUAUAUAAAUAACCUCGGUGUUUGUAAUCCCCAACAGGUUACAAGAAUGGAUUGAAUGAGAGAGAGUAAAGGUCAUCGCGAUCUCUAGCUUGCUAAAGAGAGUAUUAUUCGUUUACUUAUAGGGCUACUGGCAGCUGGCCUAAGGGCUAUAUGAGAAUCGCCGGAGCUGUUUUAUUAUAUCCUGAAUCCAACGCUUGAAUAUUAAUUAUAUAAAUAUACAUCUAUCACGCACACUUUUCCUACUAUAAUCAUUUUUAACGAGGAGAGUUAUUAAAAGAUGCUAAAACUCUAAUGGAAAACAUCGUUACUUGCUUGGCUCGAUCUGAUUAUUCGUGCGAAUUUCUAAACAAAGUUUUGUUUAUUUACCUAUAUUCGGAAUUAGGAUUAGUUUUAUCCCUCGUUAGAAUCACUUGUUGCUUCCCGAAAACUGUGUUAUUUACGUGUCACGCCAUCAGCGCUUAUCACGCACCGGGGAGAAAGACAAGAGAAGAGAUGCGGAGAAAAGAGAACAAUCCUUAAUGGUCUGAUGCUCUCGAUGAUGUGUGUACAGCACUCAAAAUGGAGAUGCCUACCGUCGCACAUAAUCUUGUAAAGUUUUCCGGAAUUUUUUUCUCGCCCAACUUUCAAGAAAGUUUUAUUUAUUUAUCUUUUUUUUUUCUUUUGCAAAAAUGGCCUAUUAAAUUCUUAUUUUAUAAUUCGUCCAUUCACGUAACUGUUGCAUCCGGGUUUGGAAGGCGUGUCGAGCGUGUAUGGCUUCGCAGCGUGUCAGUCGAAGCUCUAACACAGUAUUAAAUGCGUUCUAUCAGGAAGUUAAUGUGCGUGGAAGGAACGACGGAAUGGUCGGAACAAAUGAAAAUCAGCAGGUGGACUAGGAAAUGGACCAACUCCCGCUCAAUCUACUCGUACCAAAAUGAACUGUGCAUUUAGCACGUAAUGUUUUGAAAUGAAUUUACCGUCUUUUAAAACACGAAACUUAAUUUUUGGAUUCGAAUUUUGUUGUGUGUGUUUGUCAUAAUUUGUUUUUAAAAAUAAAAACUUCAAAUGAGCUUUUGUAAAUUUGGAAAAUUUUUCUUUUAUAUUCAGACAUGCAAUACCACGUUUCCAUAAUGAUUUGCCACACAUCACAUAGGCCUGCGUAUAUCUAUACAGCUUUACCAGCCAAGGAAAGUAAAAACUUGCUCUUAUUUAUGAAAGAAAAUUAAGCGAAGUCGUAGAUAAAUAGUUAUUCCGACUUUUCUUUUUCUCGAUGCCAACCUAAAUCACAAAACGUAAAGCAUUAACGGGCUCGGAAAUAUCGCUGAGAUGCUUUAAUGAGCCAGACCAUCCCGUGAUCUGAUUACGUCCCCCCAUCUUGCGUCUGUAAAUAUUGGGCAAAGAUAGAAAAGGGGAGGAAAAAUAUCGCAUAAGCUACGAAAAACAAGAAAAAAAUUUUAGUGUAUGUAUAUAUAUCUCAUCGGUUAGUCACGUGUUUGGCUAUAAAAUAUGAUCUUUCUCUUUUGCAAAUAUAUAAUUCAGUAUUCUGCUAGCUUAAAGUCGUACCGCUAGUAAAGGAUGAUCUGUGCAGAUUUAUUUUUAAACUUAGUUUUAAUAGGAAUUAAUUGCAUUUUCUUUUCCGCGUUUUGCUUUCCUUUAAUUAACUUAAACAUUUAUUUUAAAAUAACAAUUGGAUUAAUCUGAG